GCCAUGUGGAGGCCCGAGGAGAGGACGAGGCGGUCGGGGCGAUGCCGCCGACGGGCAGCAGAGCGAGGGAGAGCCUCUGUCGGCGGAGAGAAGGGACGGCCACCCACCAGCAGGCAGGAGGGUACCGGUUUCUGCCCAUAGAGAGAAAGGAGAGGACGUUAGCCAAGCAGCAUCCCAGCUCCCAAUCCUCCUGCGAGCCAUCAGUCAGGAACAGCUUCACCCUCUUAGAGGUGAUGCUGGUGCUACUGGCCAAGGAUCACAUUUGGAGAACCACAGAAGUAUUCUCCAGACCCACAGGCCACCCCGAAGCUCAGAGGCUAUAAGUCUGUCUGAUCUCUGCAUCCUCCACCUCCCCAGUCCCCAUGGAGAGUUGAGAGGAACUCCUGCUCUGGCCAAAAUGGAGCUGAUGGUUUACACAGAAACAUCCAGGAGUAUGUGCAUUUCAGAAAAUAAGGGCAACCUGAGAAAUUCCCUUGCCCCAAACACACAAACCACCCAAACCAGAAACAGUGUUCAUCCUCCACUCGUCUCUAGAGUGUCCACUUCAGGAGCGCAGGGGCUGGGCCUGGGCCAGGAUCUCCAGCCCCUGCAACUGUGGGAACCCUCCAGGCCAAGUUCAGAUGCUCCCUCCUCCAUGAGGCCUGCGGUGGCUCCCACUUCUCAGGAUGCACUGAUGGCUCCCUCCUGGGUAUGGGUCCCAAUAUCCCUGCUGUAAGCACUCGUGUGUGUACGGAAAUCUUGUGCCACCUCCUACUGGGUGCUCUCUUAAGGCAAGGGCCACUUCUUCAUGUCCCACAGAAUCCAGCACAAAAUAGAUGCUCUGAGAGUUUCACUUUAGAAGUCCAAUCAAGGAUCAAAUAAACUUUAAAGACUUCUUUUGG
This 881-nucleotide long non-coding RNA is filed under the name Homo sapiens (human). Its description in RNAcentral is "HSALNT0155726". The record is from RNAcentral. Lineage: Eukaryota; Metazoa; Chordata; Mammalia; Primates; Hominidae.